UACGGAGGGUGCGAGCGUUGUUCGGAAUUAUUGGGCGUAAAGCGCACGUAGGCGGUCUGGUAAGUCUCACUGUGAAAGCCCGGGGCUCAACCCCGGGAGGCCAGGGGAUACUGCAAGGCUGGAGACAAGCAGAGGUUGGUAGAAUUCCGGGUGUAGCGGUGGAAUGCGUAGAGAUCCGGAGGAAUACCAGAGGCGAAGGCGGCCAACUGGGCUUGUUCUGACGCUGAGGUGCGAAAGCGUGGGGAGCGAACAGG
Molecule: ribosomal RNA, 254 nt
Filed under: uncultured bacterium
Lineage: Bacteria
Description: partial 16S ribosomal RNA
Rfam family: Bacterial small subunit ribosomal RNA
Source: RNAcentral